UGGUCAAGUUAUUAAGGGUGCAGGGCGGAUGCCUUGGCACUAGGAGCCGAUGAAGGACGUGAUAAGCUGCGAUAAGCUUCGGGGAGUUGCACGUAAACUUUGAUCCGAAGAUUUCCGAAUGAGGAAACUCACUUAGAGUAAUGUCUAAGUAUCAUUAAGUGAAUACAUAGUUUAAUGAGGGGAACUCAGGGAACUGAAACAUCUAAGUACCUGAAGGAAGAGAAAGAAAUUCGAUUCCGUAAGUAGCGGCGAGCGAACGCGGAUUAGCCCAAACCAAUAAAGUUUUCUUUAUUGGGGUUGAGGACAUACCACAUAUAAGAGGUCAUUAUAGACGAAGAAGUUUGGAAAAACUCAUCAUAGAAGGUAAUAAUCCUGUAGUCAAAAUAAUAAUUCUUUAGGUAUGAUCCAGAGUACCACGGGACACGUGAAACCCUGUGGGAAGCAGGAGGGACCACCCUCCAAGGCUAAAUACUACCUAGUGACCGAUAGCGUAUAGUACCGUGAGGGAAAGGUGAAAAGAACCCCGGGAGGGGAGUGAAAUAGAACCUGAAACCCUGCACUUACAAGCUGUGGAAGCACAUUUCUUGUGUGACCGCGUACUUUUUGUAGAACGGGCCAACGAGUUACGUUAAGUAGCAAGGUUAAGCACUUAAGGUGCGGAGCCGUAGCGAAAGCGAGUUUUAACUGAGCGUUCAGUUACUUGACGUAGACCCGAAACCGGGCGACCUACCCAUGAGCAGGAUGAAGCGAAAGUAAAAUUUCGUGGAGGUCCGAACCCACGAGCGUUGAAAAGCUCGGGGAUGACUUGUG
RNAcentral lists this ribosomal RNA (810 nucleotides) under Clostridioides difficile. Its description in RNAcentral is "partial 23S ribosomal RNA". It matches the Rfam family "Bacterial large subunit ribosomal RNA", at positions 1 to 813 of the family's 2925-position model. The record is from RNAcentral. Lineage: Bacteria; Bacillati; Bacillota; Clostridia; Peptostreptococcales; Peptostreptococcaceae.